RNAcentral lists this ribosomal RNA (560 nucleotides) under Curvularia spicifera. RNAcentral describes it as "LSU rRNA". It matches the Rfam family "Eukaryotic large subunit ribosomal RNA", at positions 223 to 801 of the family's 3401-position model. Lineage: Eukaryota; Fungi; Ascomycota; Dothideomycetes; Pleosporales; Pleosporaceae. The record is from RNAcentral.
GUACGUGGUCGCUAGCUAUUGCCGUGUAAAGCCCCUUCGACGAGUCGAGUUGUUUGGGAAUGCAGCUCUAAAUGGGAGGUAAAUUUCUUCUAAAGCUAAAUAUUGGCCAGAGACCGAUAGCGCACAAGUAGAGUGAUCGAAAGAUGAAAAGCACUUUGGAAAGAGAGUCAAACAGCACGUGAAAUUGUUGAAAGGGAAGCGCUUGCAGCCAGACUUGCUUGCAGUUGCUCAUCCGGGCUUUUGCCCGGUGCACUCUUCUGCAGGCAGGCCAGCAUCAGUUUGGGCGGUGGGAUAAAGGUCUCUGUCACGUACCUUCCUUCGGGUUGGCCUUAUAGGGGAGACGCCAUACCACCAGCCUGGACUGAGGUCCGCGCAUCUGCUAGGAUGCUGGCGUAAUGGCUGUAAGCGGCCCGUCUUGAAACACGGACCAAGGAGUCUAACAUCUAUGCGAGUGUUUGGGUGUCAAGCCCGAGCGCGUAAUGAAAGUGAACGGAGGUGGGAACCCGCAAGGGUGCACCAUCGACCGAUCCUGAAGUUUACGGAAGGAUUUGAGUAAGAGC